AUAUCAAUAAGCGGAGGAAAAGAAACCAACAGGGAUUGCCUCAGUAACGGCGAGUGAAGCGGCAACAGCUCAAAUUUGAAAUCUGCCCGCAAGGGCCGAGUUGUAAUUUGUAGAGGAUGUUUUGGGUACCGCCGCGGUUUAAUUUUCUUGGAACAGGAAGCCAAAGAGGGUGAGAGUCCCGUCUUGGACCGCGGUAGGGCUCGUGUAAAACUCCUUCGACGAGUCGAGUUGUUUGGGAAUGCAGCUCAAAAUGGGUGGUAAAUUUCAUCUAAAGCUAAAUAUUGGCCAGAGACCGAUAGCGCACAAGUAGAGUGAUCGAAAGAUGAAAAGCACUUUGAAAAGAGAGUUAAACAGUAUGUGAAAUUGUUGAAAGGGAAGCGCUGGCAAUCAGACUUGAGCGCGGCGGUUCCCCCGGCCUUUUGGCCGGGCUACUCCGUCGCGUCCAGGCCAACAUCGGUUCUGAGGGUCGGUCAAAGGCCCCGGGAAUGUACCUACCCACGGGUAGACUUAUAGACCGGGGUGUCAUGCGGCCUCUCGGGACCGAGGAACGCGCUUCGGCUCGGAUGUUGGCGUAAUGGUUGUCAGCGA
RNAcentral lists this ribosomal RNA (588 nucleotides) under uncultured fungus. Its description in RNAcentral is "eukaryotic LSU rRNA". It matches the Rfam family "Eukaryotic large subunit ribosomal RNA", at positions 40 to 647 of the family's 3401-position model. Lineage: Eukaryota; Fungi. The record is from RNAcentral.